Cyprinus carpio (common carp) is the source of this 717-nucleotide long non-coding RNA. NCBI's taxonomy places the organism in Eukaryota, Metazoa, Chordata, Actinopteri, Cypriniformes, Cyprinidae. The record is from Ensembl.
GUGGAUUUAAGAAAAAAAGGCAAUUGUUAUAUAUUUUUUCUCUCUGAAUGGUGGUCCCAGACCCCAGUUUGCUAUGGUAAAUUCUCAAAUAUACUGAAUGUCAUUUGAAUGAUACUGAAUAUAAUAUUUUGGAAAUAUAAGAGUGAUAUUUGUGCUCCCUCUCAGCUGGCUCUACCAGGCUCUGGGCAUUUGUCUAGGCUGGGAUCUCUUGUGAGUGGAGUAAAGGUGGAGACUCUAUGGGCUUUACCAACUGAUGUUCUGCUAGAAGCGUUACCUGCUCUGAGCCUUCAGACACCUGGGCUCACCCCCCCACAGGUCAACACUAUCAUCUCCAAACUCUGGGCUUCUAGUUCUGUGUCCCAGUGGAUGGAUAAAGUCAAGCCUUUGCUCUCUAGCACUCCACUCCUGAGUGUGAUUGCCCAAGUCCCUCUGCUGCUGAUCAAAGACACUGCUGUACACACUCGCCUCUGGAACACACAGCAGGCGAAAGCUCUCUUUAAAGAGGCUGUCGUCUCUCAUCCAAGUCUCUCGCUACAAGAAUUUCUAUCUCUGGGGACACUGGCUACAGGAGUGAAUUGCUUGGACCUUAGACGAUUGUUCCAGAACCUGGCAUCUCUAUCACCUCUACGUGACAUUAUGACAUUUCUGAGAGAGCAGCCGGUGCCACUCCACCCCUCACUGGUAUCUAGUAAACCUACAUUCAAAUUCAGGACCUAA